GAAUAUUGGACAAUGCCCGCAAGGGUGAUCCAGCCAUGCCGCGUGCAGGAAGACGGCCCUAUGGGUUGUAAACUGCUUUUACACCGGAGAAAACCCCCGCUCGUGAGCGGGGCUGAUAGUAUGGGGAGAAUAAGCAGCGGCGACCUUCGUGCCAGCAGCCGCGGUAAGACGAAGGAUGCAAGCGUUAUCCGGAUUCAUUGGGUUUAAAGGGAGCGUAGGUGGCCUUGUAAGUCAGUGGUGAAAUCUCUGGGCUUAACCCAGAAAUUGCCAUUGAUACUGCAGGGCUUGAGUACAGAUGCCGUUGGCGGAAUAUGACAUGUAGUGGUGAAAUACAUAGAGAUGUCAUAGAACACCGAUUGCGAAGGCAGCUAACGAAACUGUAACUGACACUGAGGCUCGAAAGUGUGGGGAUCAAACAGG
This 420-nucleotide ribosomal RNA is filed under the name uncultured bacterium. RNAcentral describes it as "bacterial SSU rRNA". It matches the Rfam family "Bacterial small subunit ribosomal RNA", at positions 359 to 776 of the family's 1533-position model. The record is from RNAcentral.